This is a long non-coding RNA of Dermochelys coriacea (leatherback sea turtle), 2207 nucleotides long. RefSeq lists it as uncharacterized. Lineage: Eukaryota; Metazoa; Chordata; Testudines; Dermochelyidae. The transcript is spliced from 3 exons. The record is from RefSeq and is a predicted model, not a curated record.
AUGAUGAAAGGUAAUUCAAUGCAGAAUUGUUAACCAGAGCCCCAAGACUUUAAUUUAACCUUGCAAAACACGCACUAAAAUCUCCAUCGGAUCUGCAUUCGGUUUCUAUCUCACCGGUUUCCUGGUUCCACUUUCUUUUGAAAGCUUUGCUCUUUGUUCUCCCACAGCACAGCCAGGGCAUCAGUGGAGAGGGAAAGCCAUGCAAAUCGUGACACAGACAAACAAGUGGCAGCCCGAGAGGUAAGUGCGAUAGGAUUUCAUUUGAAUUAUUGAUUUAGAUCUUCUGUAUUUAUCAAGCAAGGUGCUAUUGUUUUGUCUCCUGCUGGCAAACAUAACACACUGUAGUUGGAAUUCUUAGUAAAACUUGAACUGUUUACUGAAGAAAACUUACAGCAGACUGUUUCUGAUGAUUACAGCAACCAGAUUCACUUUGCUUUCCUUCUCUUAAAUGGUCGUCCUAAUGCAGUGCUGUUGUUAAUAUUAACUUUACCUUCCUUACUGCGAUGUGCUCUUGAACCCAACCCACAUAGUUACCAGAGCCAGGACACACUUACAAGGCUCUGAACAUGAGCUGUUAAAUUAAAUUACUGAGUCCAAGCCAACUAGCCGCCCAGAGCACUUUAAAUGACCAGUUUUUAAAUUAAGGGAGCAAAGAAAUUACAGAUGAAAAAGAUCUACCAAGGUAAUUGAGUCCACUCCUCUCUCGUGCCCUGCACAAGAUUGUUCUUCAUAAUAUAUUUUCUAGCGUUUCAUCUAGCAUUUACAGAUAAGAGUCCACAUCAGAAAUGUGAUCGGUUUUAUUUCUACUGCAAAGAAGAUUCUGCAGAGCACUGAAGAUUUAUUAGUAUUCUGCCUUCUACACACUGAGAAAAGCCUUAUGUUUCAGUCAAAUGGCAUUUCAAACUGACAUUUGCCAGAUUAAGGGAAAAUAACUAGCUAACUGAAAGACAAGGUAAUAUCUUUUAUUGGAUCAACUUCUCUUGGUGAAAAAGACAAGCUUUUGAGCUACAGACAGCUCUUCCUCAGGUCUUGGAAAGGUAUUCAGAGUAUGUUUACACUCAGAGACCUGCCCUUUGGGGGGCGGAGCAGAGUGAGGGCAGCGGCUUCAGCAGAUGUUACUGAGCAUGUUCAGUCUGUGAGCAUGCUCAGUACAAGCCAAGCAGCAAAUCGGGGGAUGGGGGCGGCACAUGACCCCACAGGCUGCCCCACCAGCUGCGCCGCCAUAGUGCUUCAGUGUAGACACUAACUACACUGACGGGAAGGGUUCUCCCAUUGGCGUAGUUAAUCCACCCUCCCGAGAGGCAGUAGCUAGGUUGACAGAAGCGCUGUCUACACCAGGGCUUCAGUAUAGCUACCUCUCUCAGGGGUGGGAAGGUUGCCCUUGGAAUUCCUGAGGCUACCAACAAAGGGUCAGCUCAUGCCAAUUUUGACUCCACCGAUAGUUUUAUAAUAUGGGCACCUGUUCCCACUAGGAACUAGACUCUGCGUCAUUCCGCACAGCCACAUCAGUCUCCUUUUGAGUCACCUUUAAUAAGAUACCCCUGAAGGGUUCAACAGAGAAGAUGCAGAGAGUAUUUUCCUCUGGGAUAUCUUCAGGAGUAUCCAGUAUUUCUGAAGAAAAUCUUGAUGACAACCUUGAAAUAUCAAAGCAUCUGAAGAGGACACUGGCGAACAAGUUUUUCACUGACUUGAACGCUGAAGAUUUGAUGAUGGUCAAGCAGGCCUUGAUAUAUCUUGAGAGGAAUAAAGAAAGUAUUGGUGACUUUCUGAAGUAGUUUCCCGAGCAAAGAAACAAGGUGGAAAGCUGCAUACAAUGCUUUGAGGAAAUGGUGGACAACACGGAUGAAGUCCAUAAAAAAUGUGCCACAAUAAGUACUGCAGCAAACACCAUGGAUUUUAUUUCAAGCAUUUUUAAUCUAGUAAAACAUGGGGGCCGUCUCUGUAUUGAUUUGGAGAUAUUAGCUGAUGUUGCAAAUAUUUCCAGAUUUAUAUACAAAAAUUAUAACAACUUCAAGAUAGAGGAUAAAGUUAAGAAGUUGCUACAGCAAUACGAAAACAGCCUGAAUUAUCUGAAAAUUUCUAAUGAAGAGGAUUGUGAAUUAGAAGCUUUUCAGAGGACUGAGGCCUCAUGCAACUACUUGAAUGAUUUCAUGUCUGCUGCUUGGUCAGUUCUGGGAUUAUAUAGAAACAUUACAAAGUUAAACAAA